Molecule: ribosomal RNA, 253 nt
Filed under: uncultured bacterium
Lineage: Bacteria
Description: partial 16S ribosomal RNA
Rfam family: Bacterial small subunit ribosomal RNA
Source: RNAcentral
GACGAACUGUGCGAACGUUGUUCGGAAUCACUGGGCUUAAAGGGUGCGUAGGCGGCCCGUUAAGUCGGGGGUGAAAUACUUCGGCUCAACCGUGGAACUGCUGGGCAUACUGGCGUUCUUGAGCCAGCCAGGGGUCGUCGGAACAAACGGUGGAGCGGUGAAAUGCGUAGAUAUCGUUUGGAACGCCAAAGGCGAAAGCAGACGACUGGGGCUGAGCUGACGCUGAGACACGAAAGCCAGGGGAGCAAACGGG